Molecule: ribosomal RNA, 440 nt
Filed under: uncultured bacterium
Lineage: Bacteria
Description: bacterial SSU rRNA
Rfam family: Bacterial small subunit ribosomal RNA
Source: RNAcentral
CCUACGGGUGGCUGCAGUCGAGGAUCUUCGGCAAUGGGCGCAAGCCUGACCGAGCGACGCCGCGUGCGGGACGAAGGCCUUCGGGUUGUAAACCGCUAAAGGGGGGAGAAAGGCCGCGAGGCGUGAUCGACCCCCAGUAAGCACGGGCUAAGUUCGUGCCAGCAGCCGCGGUAAGACGAACCGUGCGAACGUUAUUCGGAUUCACUGGGCUUAAAGGGCGCGUAGGCGGGCGGCGAGGUCCGACGGUGAAAUCCCACAGCUCAACUGUGGAACGGCCGCGGAGACCGGCCGCCUCGGGACGGACAGGGGUGCGCGGAACACUCGGUGGAGCGGUGAAAUGCGUUGAUACCGAGUGGAACACCGACGGCGAAGGCGGCGCACUGGGUCCGGUCCGACGCUGAGGCGCGAAAGCCAGGGGAGCGAACGGGAUUAGAUACCCC